UUGACGGUACCCUACUAGAAAGGAGCCGCUAACUUCGUGCCAGAAGCGUCGGUAAUACGGGGGCUCCAAGCGUUAUCCGGUGUUAUUGGGCGUAAAGAGUCGUGUAGGUGGUUGGGUAAGUUAUCUUUCAAAUAUCUUUGCUUAACAAAGAGGAGGGGGAUAAUACUGCUCGACUAGAAUUUUCUCAAGGGAGAUCGGAACUGAGGGAGGAGUAGUGAAAUGCGUUGAUACCCUCGGGAACACCAGUGGCGUAGGCGGAUCUCUGGGAGAAGAUUGACACUGAGACACGAAAGCUAGGGGAGCGAAGCAGAUUAGAGACCUGCGUAGUCCUAGCCGUAAACGCAUGCUUGCUAGCUGCAUGAAUCUACCUUCGGGUGGUAUCGUGUGGCGAAGGUAACCCGUUAAGCAAGCCGCCUGGAAAGUACGGCCGCAAGGCUGAAAUUCAAAGGAAUUGGCGGGGAGGCACACAACCAGUGGAACAUGUGGUUUAAUUCGAGACUAACCGAAGAACCUCACCAGGGUUUGACAUGUAGCUGCACGUCUUAAGAAAUUAAGACUCUCUUGAAGGUGCUACACAGGUGCUGCAUGGCUGUCGUCAGCUCGUUCCGUGAGGAGUGCCCUUAAGUGGGACAACGAGCGCAACCCCUAUUACAUGUUAGAAAUGUCAUGUAAGACUGCCUUGCCAUUUGGCGGGGAGGAAGGAGGGGCAGACGUCAAGUCCGCAUGGUCCUUAUGCCCUGGGCUACACACAUGUUACAAUGAGUACGGCAAUGAGUCUGUCGCGAGCACGUAAGUGUAAGCUAAUCUCUUAAAUGUACUCUCAGUGGGGGUUGAGGUCUGCAACUCGACCUCAUGAACACGGAAUUGGUAGUAAUCGCGGGUCAGCUAUACCGCGGUGAAUACGUUCUUGCCUCUUGCACACACCGCCCGUCAAACCAGCAAAGU
This 945-nucleotide ribosomal RNA is filed under the name uncultured organism. RNAcentral's name for it is "bacterial SSU rRNA". It matches the Rfam family "Bacterial small subunit ribosomal RNA", at positions 469 to 1411 of the family's 1533-position model. The record is from RNAcentral.